AAUGUGUAUAAGAGACAGGUGAGUCAUCGAAUCUUUGAACGCACAUUGCGCCCGCUAGUAUUCUGGCGGGCAUGCCUGUUCGAGCGUCAUUUCAACCAUCAAGCCCCCGGCUUGCGUUGGAGCCCUGCGGCUGCCGCAGGCUCCCAAAUCCAGUGGCGGGCUCGUCGUCGUACCGAGUGCAGUAAACAUCCUCGCUCAGGGAACGCGUCGGGUUCUUGCCGUGAAACACCCCACAUAUCAAGGUUGACCUCGGAUCAGGUAGGAAUACCCGCUGAACUUAAGCAUAUCAAUAAGCGGAGG
Molecule: unclassified non-coding RNA, 300 nt
Filed under: uncultured Lasiosphaeriaceae
Lineage: Eukaryota; Fungi; Ascomycota; Sordariomycetes; Sordariales; Lasiosphaeriaceae
Description: sequence contains 5.8S rRNA gene, ITS2
Rfam family: 5.8S ribosomal RNA (bases 1-89)
Source: RNAcentral